UGCAAGUCGAACGAUGAUCCGGUGCUUGCACCGGGGAUUAGUGGCGAACGGGUGAGUAACACGUGAGUAACCUGCCCUUGACUCUGGGAUAAGCCUGGGAAACCGGGUCUAAUACCGGAUACGACCUUUCACCGCAUGGUGGUUGGUGGAAAGAUUUUUUGGUUUUGGAUGGACUCGCGGCCUAUCAGCUUGUUGGUGAGGUAAUGGCUCACCAAGGCGACGACGGGUAGCCGGCCUGAGAGGGUGACCGGCCACACUGGGACUGAGACACGGCCCAGACUCCUACGGGAGGCAGCAGUGGGGAAUAUUGCACAAUGGGCGCAAGCCUGAUGCAGCGACGCCGCGUGAGGGAUGACGGCCUUCGGGUUGUAAACCUCUUUCAGCAGGGAAGAAGCGAAAGUGACGGUACCUGCAGAAGAAGCGCCGGCUAACUACGUGCCAGCAGCCGCGGUAAUACGUAGGGCGCAAGCGUUGUCCGGAAUUAUUGGGCGUAAAGAGCUCGUAGGCGGUUUGUCGCGUCUGCUGUGAAAGCCCGGGGCUCAACCCCGGGUCUGCAGUGGGUACGGGCAGACUAGAGUGCAGUAGGGGAGACUGGAAUUUCCUGGUGUAGCGG
This 613-nucleotide ribosomal RNA is filed under the name Arthrobacter sp. Its description in RNAcentral is "bacterial SSU rRNA". It matches the Rfam family "Bacterial small subunit ribosomal RNA", at positions 56 to 681 of the family's 1533-position model. The record is from RNAcentral. Lineage: Bacteria; Bacillati; Actinomycetota; Actinomycetes; Micrococcales; Micrococcaceae.